Molecule: ribosomal RNA, 468 nt
Filed under: uncultured bacterium
Lineage: Bacteria
Description: partial 16S ribosomal RNA
Rfam family: Bacterial small subunit ribosomal RNA
Source: RNAcentral
GACGAACGCUGGCGGCGUGCUUAACACAUGCAAGUCGAACGGAAAGGCCCUGCUUUUGUGGGGUGCUCGAGUGGCGAACGGGUGAGUAACACGUGAGUAACCUGCCCUUGACUUUGGGAUAACUUCAGGAAACUGGGGCUAAUACCGGAUAGGAGCUCCUGCUGCAUGGUGGUGGUUGGAAAGUUUCGGCUGUUGGGGAUGGACUCGCGGCUUAUCAGCUUGUUGGUGGGGUAGUGGCUUACCAAGGCUUUGAGGGGUAGCCGGCCUGAGAGGGUGAACGGCCACAUUGGGACUGAGAUACGGCCCAGAAUGCAACGGGAGGCAGCAGGGGGGAAUAUUGCACAAUGGGGGGAAGCCUGAUGCAGCAACGCCGGGUGCGUGAUGACGGCCUUCGGGUGGUAAACCGCUUUCGACUGUGACGAAGCGUGAGUGACGGUAAUGGGUAAAGAAGCACCGGCUAACUACGUG